This 264-nucleotide unclassified non-coding RNA is filed under the name Hevea brasiliensis (rubber tree). The record is from RNAcentral. Lineage: Eukaryota; Viridiplantae; Streptophyta; Magnoliopsida; Malpighiales; Euphorbiaceae.
UGACCGUUUUGGGUAGAUGGGAGUGAGAUGCCGUAGCUCUGCCAUGCUUGUUCUUGAUUCAUUCGGCGUCUCUUUAUUUUGUUGCUCCCUUGACCGAAGCUGCUCCUUGCCCGGAUGACUGCUUUGGGUUUCUUUGCGUUUGGUUGCAUUUCUUCAUGUUGAGAGGCUGCAUGCAGUUUAAUGGUGAUUGUGAUCCCAGCAGCUUGUGUGUAGAUGAGAGAUCCGUGGUUUCUUUACUACUUGGCAAUCUAUUUUGAGGCGACA